CAGCCGCCGCGGGAAUACAGAGGGUGCGAGCGUUAAUCGGAUUUACUGGGCGUAAAGCGUGCGUAGGCGGCUUUUUAAGUCGGAUGUGAAAUCCCUGAGCUUAACUUAGGAAUUGCAUUCGAUACUGGGAAGCUAUAGUAUGGGAGAGGAUGGUAGAAUUCCAGGUGUAGCGGUGAAAUGCGUAGAGAUCUGGAGGAAUACCGAUGGCGAAGGCAGCCAUCUGGCCUAAUACUGACGCUGAGGAGCGAAAGCAUGGGGAGCGAACAGGAUUAGAUACCCCUGUAGUCCCUGUCUCUUAUAC
Molecule: ribosomal RNA, 301 nt
Filed under: uncultured bacterium
Lineage: Bacteria
Description: partial 16S ribosomal RNA
Rfam family: Bacterial small subunit ribosomal RNA
Source: RNAcentral